GCCAUAUUUUAUUUAAUCCCAACAAUACCCUUACCAUUUUCUUCAACCUACCAACUAACAAGAGAAUCCACUCCUUAGGAAAGAUCACCGAAAUCUCUGGCUUCUCUAUUGCUCCGGCGAGGAAAGGUCUUCCAAAUCUCUUCCUUCUCCGGCGAGUAAAGCUUGUGUUGGUGAAGCCCUAAAUCUCCUCUGAAUCUGACUACGAUGAUCUACAUGCAGAAAACCAUCAUCUCAGGUGAGUUGAUUGUUCCUCCCACGGUUUCCUCAGAAUCAGGCAGCGCUUGCUGUAUUGGCCACCGUUGGGCAAAAUCCAGCUGCCUUUAGUGUUAACCCUGCUGUUCUUGCAUCGUUGAACCCCGCUUGGGCAGUUGCCAUGAAUGCUUCCGCACAUCCUGUUCCAUCCACAGCCCAACCGCAGGCAAUGCCGAGAUUUGGAAUGGGGAAUUCGAGGUUAUCAGAACCCACAAGCUAAUCAAACCAAUAACUUGUAUCAGAGUGGCCCAAUGGCGCAGCCUCAUCAACCAAGGCCACACUCUGCCCUUGGGCAUAUGGGAGGAUAUGGUGCACGUUGGCUGAGUUGGAUCUGUUGUUUUUGCUUUAUUUUUUGUUUAUUUGCUAUCCUUCCUUGAGGUUUCUUCGGUUUUUAUUUGUCUCUAAUUUUCUGUUUACUUUGUUCUUAGUCUGAUAUUUUGGAAGCGGUUAUUCUUUUGGGCUGCGGCCGCUUGGGGGAAUGAACGUAUUCAGAAUUCAGAUGCAUGAAUGUAAUUCCAGAUUUUUCCUUAUGCACUUCUUAGUAGUUUUGCCGGGUUGUGUAACCAAUAUUUUCAAAUUUCUUGUGUAAGCUUUUGAUUGUGAACUAAUUUUUAGUGACACAAUGAAGAUGAUUUUGGAUCA
Macadamia integrifolia is the source of this 894-nucleotide long non-coding RNA. RefSeq lists it as uncharacterized. NCBI's taxonomy places the organism in Eukaryota, Viridiplantae, Streptophyta, Magnoliopsida, Proteales, Proteaceae. The record is from RefSeq and is a predicted model, not a curated record. The transcript has 2 exons.